This 1451-nucleotide long non-coding RNA is filed under the name Chinchilla lanigera (long-tailed chinchilla). RNAcentral describes it as "lncRNA (ENSCLAG00000026371.1)". Lineage: Eukaryota; Metazoa; Chordata; Mammalia; Rodentia; Chinchillidae. The record is from RNAcentral.
GCUCCCUACCCGGCAGUGACAACAUUCCUUGUUUUCACUCAGGCGGUGUGUAAGAACACUUCCCUUCCUAUCUUUCUUUUCGCAGAUGAGUUCUAAGGAGUUUGGAUUUUGUCCUGAGGACAAUGGAGAGACGGCAUCUACUCCCUACCUGGGCUUCCUGGAGCUGUCUGUCCCUGGACAUAAGAAGCACUGGACCAGAUAGUUUCCAGGGACCUCCCAGGUUUGAUGCACUAAAUGGACAAAACAAGAUGUCCACAGCAAGAAUCUUGGAGCUGGGCCACACUGGCAAGUCUGAUAAUGCCAAAAGACCACCCAUGAUGAAGAUCAUUCUCAAAGGGGAGGGGGAUCAAGAGAAGGAGGUGGGGAAGAAGGGACGAAAACAAAAGGAACUGAGAUAUGUUAUGUACAUGUACUGAGUGUACACAGGGAAUAUAUACAUUAAAUACUACAAAUGUACCCCCGAAAAAGAAAAAAGGAGGCGGGGUGGGAAAGGAGAGACAAAAGGAAUGAAGGUGUGUUAUGUACACACACCAGCUCCGGACAAGGAACAUAAGCACAUGUACUACACAAAUGUAGCAAUAAACUAAAAUAAAAAUAAGAUCAUCAGUGACAGUGGACUGGCCAAGAAGUAACAGUGUACCUGCCCAAUUUGUAUAAUAACCAGAAAGGAGAGGAGGUGGUGGACCUUGAGGAGCCACUUACAGCACCACCCCACUUUGGAAUGUUCCAUUUGCUAUGGAAGGGGUUCUUUUCUUCAGGUUAGAAAUAGUAAUCUGAAUGAAAGGACUUUUCUGAUUCAUGAGCAGACUUAAAAUCCUAGAUUUUGAAAAAAAUCUGACUUGUGAGAAAAUCUUUUAAAUUAGAAACCUAACAAAGUGGAAGAGUUAGGUUUAGCUUAGAGCACUUAGCAUAUGCCAAAUAGUAUGACUAAUAAAUGGAAACCACAGGGAUCAACACAGCCCCCAGUGCCACAGCUCAUGUCUGUGAAGGAGACAGGCACAUGGGCUCUAAGGACCAGAGAACUUUAAAGAACGAGAAAGAAGUUAUACCUCCUUCCUGGAGGUGGUAGAAGUGCCGCUGUCAUGACAGAGACAUCCACUAGGAUUUAAAACAGCUGUUUUAUGGCCUUGUGGCUACAAUGAUUGUUACAAGUGGAAUAAUGAAGGAUGAUGCUUUAUUUGCAAAGAAGAAAGACUGAAAAUGGAACUAAAUCUGUUUCCUCAUUCCUAAACUGGGAAUAAUUAUACUCCCCUGCCCCACUGAGAUAGAGCUUUUCAAUUCCAUGUGGAUUUAAGACACAUCCAUGUGAAAUAGAGUGAGCUACUUGGUAUGAUAUGUAUGCACACUCCAUAAGAUACAAAAAGCAAGGCAGAAAGUGAUACUGGAACCCCUUCUCCAUGAGAACAAUGAUCAACUCUGAAAUAACAGAUUUAAAUAAAGUUAUAUUAUUA